RNAcentral lists this ribosomal RNA (440 nucleotides) under uncultured bacterium. RNAcentral describes it as "partial 16S ribosomal RNA". It matches the Rfam family "Bacterial small subunit ribosomal RNA", at positions 338 to 795 of the family's 1533-position model. The record is from RNAcentral.
CCUACGGGAGGCAGCAGUGGGGGAUAUUGCACAAUGGGGGGAACCCUGAUGCAGCGACGCCGCGUGGGUGAAGAAGGGCCUCGGCGCGUAAAGCCCUGUCAGCAGGGAAGAAAAUGACGGUACCUGAAUAAGAAGCCCCGGCUAACUACGUGCCAGCAGCCGCGGGAAUACGUAGGGGGCAAGCGUUAUCCGGAUUUACUGGGUGUAAAGGGGGCGCAGACGGCGAUGCAAGCCAGGAGUGAAAGCCCGGGGCCCAACCCCGGGACUGCUCUUGGAACUGCGUGGCUGGAGUGCAGGAGGGGCAGGCGGAAUGCCUGGUGUAGCGGUGAAAUGCGUAGAUAUCAGGAGGAACACCGGUGGCGAAGGCGGCCUGCUGGACUGCAACUGACGUUGAGGCCCGAAAGCGUGGGGAGCAAACAGGAUUAGAUACCCCAGUAGUC